CAAUAGCCUAACGGCUGAACCAGCAACUUGGAGGAAUGUAUAGCGAUAGCUAAUUGCAUCGAAAAUAUGAUGCAAGAUCGAUUUAUUGAAUAAAAUUCUGGGUAGAAUUAUGAUUAUGACAUUGUCUACCCAUGUGUCUUGACCAAAUUACGUGCCAGCAGUCGCGGUAAUACGUAGAAGACUAGUGUUAUUCAUCUUUAAUAGGUUUAAAGGGUACCUAGACGGUAAAUCAAGCCCUAGACGGGACUAAUUUGCUAGAGUUACUUAUGAGGGGGUUUUAAAGUACUAAUGGUGUAGAGAUGAAAUUUUGUAAUACCAUUUUUCGAAAGGAAAGUAAUGGCACAGGUAUAGGCGAAAGCAUCCCCUUAUGUGAUAACUGACGUUGAAGGACGAAGGCUUUGAGUCGCGAACAGGAUUAGAUACCCUGGUAGUCAAAGCAGAAAAUAAUGAGUGUCAUAGAUUAGAUAUUAAAGUUUAUUCUAUAAAUGAAAGUGUAAGCACUCCACCUCAAGAGUAAUUUGGCAACAUUGGAACUGAAAUCAUUAGACCGUUUCUGAAACCAGUAGUGAAGUAUGUUGUUUAAUUUGAUAAUCCGCAAAAAACCUUACCACAAUUUGAAUAUUUAUAUCGUUGAUAUAAUUACAAGCGUUGCACGGCUGUCUUCAGUUAAUGUCGUGAGAUUUUGGUUAGAUCCAUUAAAUUAACGCAAGCCCUUACUUUAUUUUAAAAUAAAGUCGUUCCCCACUAGAUUGGAUAAGAUAACAGGGAUUAAGACAAGUCAUCAUGGCCUGAAUAUUGUGGGCUAUA
This 807-nucleotide ribosomal RNA is filed under the name Psora decipiens. RNAcentral's name for it is "SSU rRNA". It matches the Rfam family "Bacterial small subunit ribosomal RNA", at positions 369 to 1218 of the family's 1533-position model. Lineage: Eukaryota; Fungi; Ascomycota; Lecanoromycetes; Lecanorales; Psoraceae. The record is from RNAcentral.